UCAAAUGUUUUUCCCGUGUCCUCAAACAGCUCUCUUGCAUGCGGGGGAGAUAAGACUUUCUCCUAAUGAAACAACCAAAGAUUUGAAUCCUGUGUUUGUUCUCUGGCACACCGGGGACAAAUGUGAGGCCUCGGGUCAUGCCCUUCGUCCCCUUCAUGCAGCACUGUUGAGUCCAUGAAGCAGAGGCCAAGGGGAAGGGCUGAGUCUAGUGGUCCCCUCUUUGCUGCAAUGUCCUGGCCCGGAGACCAGAGCCAGACAUGCCUGCCCAGCUGGGGCCUGGGUUGAGCCUCCCCAGGAUGGUGGCAGGUGUCUGCUCUGUCACUCUCCUCAGUGCCUGGAAGUCCAAGGCCAUGAGGACUGGCUGCCUUCCCGGAAAACACGGGUCACUGUCUGGUCGGCCUGUCCUUGAGCCCAGGCCUAGCUCUGUCCCAUGGCAGGAUAUGGACGGGGAGCGGCGAACUGUCCUCCUCUUCUCUCCCGGGUAGGACAGCAGGCUCCCAGACCUGGGAAACCCUCCAGCUCCACAGAGACGGUGUGGACCCGGAAGCUUGGACCACUCAGAGCCCCGAGAGGCUGAGUCACACCCACAUGUGUGAGAAACACCGACAGUGUCACAGCAUCGAAGGAUGUUGGAAAUCGAAAACAGCUGGAUUCCAGGCAGCUUGUCCAAACCUUCUCCUGAAGGAGGAACCUGUUCUCCAAAGUUCUCAAAGAUGAUCCUUCCCACCCUCCCUUCCACAAAUAUUUGGAGCACCCACGCUUUGUCAGGCACUGUGCUGGUCCUGGGGCAGUAACAGAGACAGAUAUGGGCCUCGUCCUCACUGAGCUGACAGUCUAGCACUUGAAAGUCUCUGCAAACAAUUUCUGUUGAAUACCUCUAGUAACAGGAUGCUCGCCACCUUACAGGACGGCCUCUUUUUUUUUUUUUUUUUUUCCGGUCAGUUUUUCCUUAUUUAAACUGUAAUGUUUGUUCUGACCUCUGGGGCUAUACAAAACAAGUCUAACCCCAUUUCCUAUGUCAGUGCCCUUAGAACGUGGAAAAAUAAACAUGGUACGCUC
Herpailurus yagouaroundi (jaguarundi) is the source of this 1059-nucleotide long non-coding RNA. RefSeq lists it as uncharacterized. The record is from RefSeq and is a predicted model, not a curated record. Lineage: Eukaryota; Metazoa; Chordata; Mammalia; Carnivora; Felidae. The transcript is spliced from 3 exons.